RNAcentral lists this ribosomal RNA (494 nucleotides) under bacterium SNB-CN28. Its description in RNAcentral is "bacterial SSU rRNA". It matches the Rfam family "Bacterial small subunit ribosomal RNA", at positions 41 to 527 of the family's 1533-position model. The record is from RNAcentral.
GGMMUGCCUUACACAUGCAAGUCGAACGGCAGCACGGGUGCUUGCACCUGGUGGCGAGUGGCGAACGGGUGAGUAAUACAUCGGAACAUGUCCUGUAGUGGGGGAUAGCCCGGCGAAAGCCGGAUUAAUACCGCAUACGAUCUACGGAUGAAAGCGGGGGACCUUCGGGCCUCGCGCUAUAGGGUUGGCCGAUGGCUGAUUAGCUAGUUGGUGGGGUAAAGGCCUACCAAGGCGACGAUCAGUAGCUGGUCUGAGAGGACGACCAGCCACACUGGGACUGAGACACGGCCCAGACUCCUACGGGAGGCAGCAGUGGGGAAUUUUGGACAAUGGGCGAAAGCCUGAUCCAGCAAUGCCGCGUGUGUGAAGAAGGCCUUCGGGUUGUAAAGCACUUUUGUCCGGAAAGAAAUCCUUGGCCCUAAUACGGUCGGGGGAUGACGGUACCGGAAGAAUAAGCACCGGCUAACUACGUGCCAGCAGCCGCGNGUAAUACA